GAUGAACGCUAGCUACAGGCUUAACACAUGCAAGUCGAGGGGAAACGGCAUCGAAAGCUUGCUUUUGAUGGGCGUCGACCGGCGCACGGGUGAGUAACGCGUAUUCAACCUGCCCAUCACUUGGGAAUAACCUUGCGAAAGUAAGACUAAUGCCCAAUGACAUCCCACGAAGGCAUCCGAAUGGGAUUAAAGAUUUAUCGGUGAUGGAUGGGGAUGCGUCUGAUUAGCUUGUUGGCGGGGUGACGGCCCACCAAGGCAACGAUCAGUAGGGGUUCUGAGAGGAAGGUCCCCCACAUUGGAACUGAGACACGGUCCAAACUCCUACGGGAGGCAGCAGUGAGGAAUAUUGAUCAAUGGGCGAGAGCCUGAACCAGCCAAGUAGCGUGCAGGAUGACGGCCCUAUGGGUUGUAAACUGCUUUUAUAAGGGAAUAAAGUGGGUCACGUGUGACUUUUUGCAUGUACCUUAUGAAUAAGGACCGGCUAAUUCCGUG
Molecule: ribosomal RNA, 492 nt
Filed under: uncultured bacterium
Lineage: Bacteria
Description: partial 16S ribosomal RNA
Rfam family: Bacterial small subunit ribosomal RNA
Source: RNAcentral